Molecule: long non-coding RNA, 678 nt
Filed under: Cricetulus griseus (Chinese hamster)
Lineage: Eukaryota; Metazoa; Chordata; Mammalia; Rodentia; Cricetidae
Description: lncRNA (ENSCGRG00015029254.1)
Source: RNAcentral
AUAUGAUCCCCGGAUGAGGACGACAAUGGAAGGCAUCCGAUAAGAUAAGUCUUAUAAAAUAUAUACAUUUAUGAUAAUUAAGAUUGAGCUAACAGAUACUCGAGUGCUGAUGACAAAUGCCUGUCCCCAAAUUCUGACCAGAACUCAGAGGUGACAAGAAGCAGGAGCUGUGGCAGCUGUUUACAUGCUGAGAAGACAAGAGACAGGGGAUCCCCAGAGCAAGCUGGAUUGCCAGACUAUCUGUCUCGUGAUCUCUGGGUUCAACUGAGAGACUCCGUCUCAGUGAAGAAGGUGGAGAAUGAUUGAGAAAGACUCCUGCAGACAAUUUCAAGCUCAGACCUCCACAUGUACAAGUAUGCAAACAUGUACACAUGCACAUAGGCAUCUACUCACAUGGGUGUGCCCACAUACGAGUGAACAUGUAUAUAUUCAUGCAUAUCACACAAAUACAUAUAGCAAACAAACAAAACAAACUUCAUGUGUGCAGGGGGUGGGGGAGUAGCUUUUCAUUAGCAAAAUGGAUGGUAUUUCCAGCUGGGGCAAAAGGUCUAAAUUCUCUAGGCCAGAAAGCCCUCCAGCACUGAUGAGUCAUCUGUGGGUUCCAGGACAGCUUGGAUUAUGACACAGUACCUCUUACAUCUAUGGGAAGCUAUCACCUUGCAUAGCUCUGUGCUCUGG